UCGAUCGAAUUUUUUUUCGGU
RNAcentral lists this non-coding RNA (21 nucleotides) under Caenorhabditis elegans. The record is from RNAcentral. Lineage: Eukaryota; Metazoa; Nematoda; Chromadorea; Rhabditida; Rhabditidae.